Molecule: non-coding RNA, 83 nt
Filed under: Neobacillus jeddahensis
Lineage: Bacteria; Bacillati; Bacillota; Bacilli; Caryophanales; Bacillaceae
Description: Cyclic di-GMP-I riboswitch
Rfam family: c-di-GMP-I riboswitch aptamer
About the family: GEMM was predicted in a large-scale screen for bacterial structured RNA regulatory elements. Genes associated with GEMM are involved in a diverse array of functions, including chemotaxis regulation, signal transduction, secretion and chitin.
Source: RNAcentral
AACGAUAAAGGCAAACCUAUUGAAAGAUCGGGACGCAAAGCCACGGGCCUAAAGCAAUUUGCUAUGGUAGCCGGGUUACCGAA